UGGGGAAUUUUCCGCAAUGGGCGCAUAGCCUGACGGAGCAAUACCGCGUGAGGGAAGAAGGCUCUUGGGUCGUAAACCUCUUUUGUCAGGGAAGAAGCAAGUGACGGUACCUGACGAAUCAGCCUCGGCUAACUCCGUGCCAGCAGCCGCGGUAAUACGGAGGAGGCAAGCGUUAUCCGGAAUUAUUGGGCGUAAAGCGUCCGCAGGUGGCUCAUCAAGUCGGCGGUCAAAGACUGGGGCUCAACUCCAGAGCGGCCGUGGAAACUGAAGAGCUAGAGGGCAGUAGGGGUAGAGGGAAUUCCCGGUGUAGCGGUGAAAUGCGUAGAGAUCGGGAAGAACAUCGGUGGCGAAAGCGCUCUGCUGGACUGCAACUGACACUGAGGGACGAAAGCUAGGGGAGCGAAUGGGAUUAGAUACCCCUGUAGUCC
RNAcentral lists this ribosomal RNA (428 nucleotides) under uncultured prokaryote. RNAcentral describes it as "bacterial SSU rRNA". It matches the Rfam family "Bacterial small subunit ribosomal RNA", at positions 355 to 796 of the family's 1533-position model. The record is from RNAcentral.